This 206-nucleotide long non-coding RNA is filed under the name Mustela putorius furo (domestic ferret). RNAcentral describes it as "lncRNA (ENSMPUG00000023934.1)". Lineage: Eukaryota; Metazoa; Chordata; Mammalia; Carnivora; Mustelidae. The record is from RNAcentral.
GUUCCUUGUGGAAGACAGAGUAGACUAAUUAAAAAAUCCUGCUUCCUGAUGGUUGGAAAAACACCAAAAUCUAACAAACAUGAGCCUUUGGACUCCCCUGAUAGAUCUCAGCCAACAGCAAGCCAAUCCAGGGGCAAAACUGCUUGGAUAUCAGCUAUCUACAGACAUAUGGAUGAGCCUGUCCAAGAGCCUGAAUGAGUCUGUCC